Molecule: ribosomal RNA, 464 nt
Filed under: uncultured soil bacterium
Lineage: Bacteria
Description: bacterial SSU rRNA
Rfam family: Bacterial small subunit ribosomal RNA
Source: RNAcentral
GCUGGCGGAAUGCUUUACACAUGCAAGUCGAGCGGCAGCGCGGGGCAACCUGGCGGCGAGCGGCGAACGGGUGAGUAAUGCAUCGGAACGUGUCCAUGUCGUGGGGGAUAGCCCGGCGAAAGCCGGAUUAAUACCGCAUACGCCCGAGAGGGGAAAGUGGGGGACCGCAAGGCCUCACGCGAUUGGAUCGGCCGAUGUCCGAUUAGCUAGUUGGCGGGGUAAAGGCCCACCAAGGCGAUGAUCGGUAGCUGGUCUGAGAGGAUGAUCAGCCACACUGGGACUGAGACACGGCCCAGACUCCUACGGGAGGCAGCAGUGGGGAAUUUUGGACAAUGGGGGCAACCCUGAUCCAGCCAUUCCGCGUGAGUGAAGAAGGCCUUCGGGUUGUAAAGCUCUUUUGUCCGGAACGAAACGGGUAGCGUGAAUAUCGCUGCCUACUGACGGUACCGGAAGAAUAAGCACCG